This 460-nucleotide ribosomal RNA is filed under the name uncultured bacterium. RNAcentral describes it as "partial 16S ribosomal RNA". It matches the Rfam family "Bacterial small subunit ribosomal RNA", at positions 338 to 795 of the family's 1533-position model. The record is from RNAcentral.
CCUACGGGUGGCAGCAGUGAGGAAUAUUGGUCAAUGGACGAGAGUCUGAACCAGCCAAGUAGCGUGAAGGAUGACUGCCCUAUGGGUUGUAAACUUCUUUUAUAUGGGAAUAAAAUGUUCCACGUGUGGGAUUUUGUAUGUACCAUAUGAAUAAGGAUCGGCUAACUCCGUGCCAGCAGCCGCGGUAAUACGGAGGAUCCGAGCGUUAUCCGGAUUUAUUGGGUUUAAAGGGAGCGUAGGGGGAUUGUUAAGUCAGUUGUGAAAGUUUGCGGCUCAACCGUAAAAUUGCAGUUGAAACUGGCAGUCUUGAGUACAGUAGAGGUGGGCGGAAGUCGUGGUGUAGCGGUGAAAUGCUUAGAUAUCACGAAGAACUCCGAUUGCGAAGGCAGUUCACUGGACUGCAACUGACACUGAGGCUCGAAAGUGUGGGUAUCAAACAGGAGUAGAUACCCCUGUAGUC